UACAGAGGGGGCAAGCGUUAAUCGGAAUUACUGGGCGUAAAGCGUGCGUAGGUGGUUUGUUAAGUCAGGCGUGAAAUCCUGGGGCUCAACCUCAGAGUUGCGCUUGAUACUGACAGACUCGAGUGUGGUAGAGGAUAGUGGAAUUCCCGGUGUAGCGGUGAAAUGCGUAGAUAUCGGGAGGAACAUCAGUGGCGAAGGCGGCUAUCUGGACCAACACUGACACUGAGGUACCAAAGCGUGGGUAGCAAACAGG
RNAcentral lists this ribosomal RNA (253 nucleotides) under uncultured bacterium. RNAcentral's name for it is "partial 16S ribosomal RNA". It matches the Rfam family "Bacterial small subunit ribosomal RNA", at positions 524 to 776 of the family's 1533-position model. The record is from RNAcentral.